RNAcentral lists this unclassified non-coding RNA (308 nucleotides) under soil metagenome. Its description in RNAcentral is "partial internal transcribed spacer 1". The record is from RNAcentral.
CAACGUAUCCACGUACCAAACUCUCGAACUGUUCCCAACGGAGCAAACCACUUGUGGAUGAAGUUAAUGGCUGGCUGUCUUUCGCUGAUGGAGUCCACUGACUUUUGUCAGAGGGCUGAAAGGCAUUCGGUCGCCAGAGCUCUGCUUUGGGACUUCGCUUGCUUCGUUGCGGUUUUUACCGUCAGCAACGUGUUACUAUCAUUAACCCUUUGAACUUCUGAACUGAACUUGAAAGCCUCGCAGCAGUCCUCGCUGGCUUCGGUCACGGACUUUGCAGCUUGGUUUUUCUGAUUUUACGAAACAAAGAA